GACGAACGCUGGCGGCGUGCUUAACACAUGCAAGUCGAAGGAAAGGCCCUGCUUUUGUGGGGUGCUCGAGUGGCGAACGGGUGAGUAACACGUGAGUAACCUGCCCUUGACUUUGGGAUAACUUCAGGAAACUGGGGCUAAUACCGGAUAGGAGCUCCUGCUGCAUGGUGGGGGUUGGAAAGUUUCGGCGGUUGGGGAUGGACUCGCGGCUUAUCAGCUUGUUGGUGGGGUAGUGGCUUACCAAGGCUUUGACGGGUAGCCGGCCUGAGAGGGUGACCGGCCACAUUGGGACUGAGAUACGGCCCAGACUCCUACGGGAGGCAGCAGUGGGGAAUAUUGCACAAUGGGCGGAAGCCUGAUGCAGCAACGCCGCGUGCGGGAUGACGGCCUUCGGGUUGUAAACCGCUUUCGCCUGUGACGAAGCGUGAGUGACGGUAAUGGGUAAAGAAGCACCGGCUAACUACGUG
This 467-nucleotide ribosomal RNA is filed under the name uncultured bacterium. RNAcentral's name for it is "partial 16S ribosomal RNA". It matches the Rfam family "Bacterial small subunit ribosomal RNA", at positions 28 to 507 of the family's 1533-position model. The record is from RNAcentral.